GCGUGCACGAUGAAGGUCUUCGGAUUGUAAAGUGCUUUUAGAAGGGAUGAGUAAGGACAGUACCUUCUGAAUAAGCCUCGGCGAACUACGUGCCAGCAGCCGCGGUAAGACGUAGGAGGCAAGCGUUAUCCGGAUUUAUUGGGCGUAAAGCGCGUGCAGGCGGUUUGGUAAGUUGGAUGUGAAAUCUCUUGGCUUAACUGGGAGAGGUCGUUCAAAACUACCAGACUAGAGAGUGGUAGAGGAAGGUGGAAUUCCGGGUGUAGUGGUGAAAUGCGU
This 276-nucleotide ribosomal RNA is filed under the name uncultured bacterium. RNAcentral describes it as "partial 16S ribosomal RNA". It matches the Rfam family "Bacterial small subunit ribosomal RNA", at positions 399 to 691 of the family's 1533-position model. The record is from RNAcentral.